RNAcentral lists this ribosomal RNA (406 nucleotides) under uncultured bacterium. Its description in RNAcentral is "partial 16S ribosomal RNA". It matches the Rfam family "Bacterial small subunit ribosomal RNA", at positions 29 to 526 of the family's 1533-position model. The record is from RNAcentral.
AUUGAACGCUGGCGGCAGGCCUAACACAUGCAAGUCGAACGAGGGGCGGACGGGUGAGUAAUGUCUGGGAAACUGCCUGAUGGAGGGGGAUAACUACUGGAAACGGUAGCUAAUACCGCAUACCAUCAGAUGUGACCAGAUGGGAUUAGCUAGUUGGUGGGGUAACGGCUCACCAAGGGGACGAUCCCUAGCUGGUCUGAGAGGAUGACCAGCAACAUGGGCACUAGGCCCAGGUCAAGAACCCGAAGGGAGGCAGUAGGGGGGAAUAUUGCCCAAUGGGCGCAAGCCUGAUGCAGCAAUGCCGUGGGUAAGAAGAAGGCCUUCGGGUGGUAAAGUACUUUCAGCGGGGAGGCGUUACCCGCAGAAGAAGCACCGGCUAACUCCGUGCCAGCCGCCGCGGUAAUAC